This 497-nucleotide ribosomal RNA is filed under the name uncultured bacterium. RNAcentral describes it as "partial 16S ribosomal RNA". It matches the Rfam family "Bacterial small subunit ribosomal RNA", at positions 28 to 507 of the family's 1533-position model. The record is from RNAcentral.
GAUGAACGCUGGCGGCGUGCCUAAUACAUGCAAGUCGAGCGAACAGACGAGGAGCUUGCUCCCCUGACGUUAGCGGCGGACGGGUGAGUAACACGUGGAUAACCUACCUAUAAGACUGGGAUAACUUCGGGAAACCGGAGCUAAUACCGGAUAAUAUAUUGAACCGCAUGGUUCAAUAGUGAAAGACGGUUUUGCUGUCACUUAUAGAUGGAUCCGCGCCGCAUUAGCUAGUUGGUAAGGUAACGGCUUACCAAGGCAACGAUGCGUAGCCGACCUGAGAGGGUGAUCGGCCACACUGGAACUGAGACACGGUCCAGACUCCUACGGGAGGCAGCAGUAGGGAAUGUUCCGCAAUGGGCGAAAGCCUGACGGAGCAACGCCGCGUGAGUGAUGAAGGUCUUCGGAUCGUAAAACUCUGUUAUUAGGGAAGAACAAAUGUGUAAGUAACUAUGCACGUCUUGACGGUACCUAAUCAGAAAGCCACGGCUAACUACGUG